CGUAUUUAAAAAGAAAAAUUACAUAAUAAAAAUAUUUUUUUUAUUAAUUUUAAAAUAUUUCUGAGAAAUUUCGUUGAUAAGUAAGACUUAAAAAUCUAUAAUAAAUCUUAAAGACAAAUAGAAUUAAGCACAAGCUCAAUAUAAGAAAUCUUCUUCAUCUACCUACUAAAUCAAACUGCAGUGCCAUCACCACGAUUUUCAAAGCUCUACCAGCCUUUCAAGAUCAAGUAUCAACUGGGUAUAUUAAAUCCACACCUUAGAAGUAACAAACUACAAUUUUCUUUCGAUCCGGCUAAGUCCUAAAGAGGGAAUGGAAGAAAAAUUCCUUUGCCGGCUGUAAAUACAGGGGAUAAAUCCUCGACUCCGUUCUAUCAAUGAAGACGAUAACCUUCUCUUCCACUUCCGAUUCGCACAAAGUAGAACUCCAGAGAGCUUAACAAAAAGGAUAUGAAGGCUAUGAAACACCUAAAGGGAAGCCAAAACAACAAAAACACCAAAGAUACAAAGCCCAUUCAGAUGCACUGCAUAAAGAAAGUUACAUACAUACUAAAAAAGAAAGGAAGGCUCACCCUUCAUGGCUUUGCCAUGAACGACGACCCUUGGCUAUUUAGAGAGAUUUUUUUAUGCGAC
Molecule: long non-coding RNA, 630 nt
Filed under: Ricinus communis (castor bean)
Lineage: Eukaryota; Viridiplantae; Streptophyta; Magnoliopsida; Malpighiales; Euphorbiaceae
Description: long non-coding RNA (RCOM_LNC001671)
Source: RNAcentral